Molecule: long non-coding RNA, 6338 nt
Filed under: Homo sapiens (human)
Lineage: Eukaryota; Metazoa; Chordata; Mammalia; Primates; Hominidae
Description: HSALNT0024248
Source: RNAcentral
AUUUUUGUGUCCCCCCAAAAUUCAUAUGUUGAAAUUCUCACCUGCAAGGUGAUGUGUAUUAGUCCGUUUUCACACUGCUGAUAAAGACAUACUUGAGACUGGGCAACUUACAAAAGAAAGAGGUUUAAUGGACUCACAGUUCCACAUGGCUGGGGAGGCCUCAUAAUCACGGUGGAAGGUGAAAGACACUUCUCACAUGGCAGUGGACAAGAGAAGAGAACUUGUGCGGGAAACUCCCCUUUAUAAAACCAUCAGAUCUCGUGAGACUUAUUCACUAUCACGAGAACAGCACUAGAAAGACCCACCCCCAUGAUUCAAUUACCUCCUACCUGGUCCCUCCCAUGACACAUGGGAAUUGUGGGGGCUAUAAUUCAGGAAGAGAUUUGGGUGGGGACACAGCAAAAACCAUAUGGUCAUGGUAUUAGAAGGUGGGGCUUUAGGAGGUGAUUAGGUCAUGAAUGUGGAGCCUUCUUGAAUGGGAUUAGCACCCUUAUAAAAGGGACCCAGAGAACUCCCUCACCCCUUCUAUCAUGUGACAAUGAAGUGAGAAGGCACCACCUAUGAACCAGGAAGUGGGUCUUCACCAGACGUUAGAUUAGCCAGUACAUUUACCUUGGACUUCCCAGCCUGCAGAACAGUGAGAAAUACAUCUCUGUUGUUUACAAGCUGCCCCCUCUAUGUGUUUUGUUAUAGCAGCAUAUAUGGACUUAGACUAGCCUUGUUAUAAUGAGACAAUGGUGAGAACCUCUUUUGGAGAGGAAGGUGUGGAAGGCCUGUCUGAGGAGACGACAUUUAAGCAGAGAUCUGGAAGAUACACAGUGAGAAUUCCAGGGAAAGAGAGGAGGGAAUCAUUUGUGCAAAGGACCUGAGGCAAGAGGAAAGACCUGAGGCAGUUCCAGGAAGUGCCAGGAGGCCGAUGGUGCUAGAAGGAAGAGGAGCAUGGUGAGAGUGAGGUCAGAGAUGAGCCAGUAGGGCAGGCAUGUGGCCACCAAAGAAUGUGAACUCAUUCUAAACUCGUUGGGACGUGAACUGGUGACGUGCCUGGAGCUAAGAUGGCUCUGGCCCUGUGUGGAGAAUGGGUUGAAGGAACACAGACGCAGCAGCAGAACCGGUCCUCAUCCUUGAACCAGGUGAGAACUUCUAGCUUACUGGGUAAAGUCCAAUUAACGUGGUGCAGAAUUCCAUCCAUGGCAGGGCUCCUGCUGUCUCCAGCCUCAUCUCCAGGCACACCCUGCACCCUUGAGAAGACAAUGCUUCCGUGUCCACCAGUUCAUUCCUUCCAGACACAUCCCAGUGGUGUCUAGCUCAGGUCUCAGCUCCUGGAAAGGGACAAGGACGCCCCAGAGUCUGCUUUUUUGACACUUACCUUCUGGUCCCCCUGAAAAAUCAUGCUGCAUCACGCCUGCACAUUGUCCUUUCUGCGGAAAUGUCCUGUCUCCCCAUCUCUAUCUGCCAAAGACCCACGCAUAAUGCAAACAAUUCAGGUUUCACCCUUUGCAGUGAACUUUGUACAGCUCUCCCAGGUUGUACAACUUCAAUCGUCCGGCAGGCCCGUGAGCACCUUCGGUGUGACAGUCUGUUCAGCACUGGGGCUAUAAAGAUAAACAAGACAAAGUCCAUGUGCUCAAAGAGCUCUCCGUCUGUGAUCCCAGAGAGACAUCUGGACAGAGACGUCAAAAUACAAAACAAUAAAUUCUGGACAGAGCAGUGUUUAGCAUGAAUCGUGAUCUGGAGGACAAAGACACAGUCCUUGCUGUCACGGAGCUCACCAUUGAGGGAUGCCCACAGGCAGCUGAAAUACAGCGGAAGUGAUAAAUCUUUAACAGAGGGUGUUUUACUCGGGGCACCCAGAAAAAAAUGAAAUUUUAACUGCAGAUUCAGGAAGUUAUCCAUGAAAAGGCGGCAGUUGAUUCCAAACUCCAACAAUGCGCUGUCAAGGCUCAUGGGCUGGCUGAGACCGUCACUUCAGGCAGAGGAUGUAGCGUUCUGAGGGGAAGAAAAAGUUUUAAAAAGAAACUUCCAGAGACACUGUCUUGAUGCAAGGAGUAAACAUAAAGUACAAAUCUGGAACACAGCGUCAGACUUAUUAGGAAAGUUACUCGGAUCAGGGCCUCUGAAAUCACCCAGACCCGAGCUCCGUAACUGCUCUGGUAUAGAGCUGGGCUCUGUGCUAUGGAGACAGUACUGACAUUUCAUCUUCCCGAGGCACGUCCCCUGGCUCCGUGAUGUGGCCGUACAACAAGCCUGCCCUUUGUUACGGUGUGUGCACACAUGUAAGUGCUCUCGACAAAUCUGUGUUCCUGCCUCUCCUCCAGUGCUUCUCAGGCAACGACGUUACCCUUGGCCUCAAGGAAAAAAAACAGACACCGUUGGUUGGAGAUUACUGAGUAAACCUACAACGUCCUCAUGCUUAAGGCCCCGUCUGUGAUUCCACCAUGAAGAGCCGUGGAGUCUAGGUCUAUGCCCAAGAGAGAUGCAUGAAAUGUUUUACUGGUUUCUGCAAAUAAGCCAGACCAAGGGAGAAACAGACCUUCAGCAAGUAGUAACCAAAUGCAAGUUUUGAGAAUGUGGAGGGAGAGGAGCUUCUGCCCCUGCAAACUGGGCAGUGCAUCCAAGGUCUCCUGCUAACAUCUGUCACUCAUCGGAGCCACCUGAUCUGAAGCGUUGUCAGGGUCAGUAUUUUUGUUCUGCCUGCUGUUUUGCUAAUGGAUCAAUGGCAGUCAGUAAAGAACAAACCGUGCCAGAAAAGAAUGUCCUCUUCUUCUCAGCUGACUCAGCUCGGGACAGGAAGACAGGGGGCAUCUGGCAUUUGGGGAAGCCCUUGAUUGUCCCUUAGGAAAUAACUGAAAAUGGAUUUGUGUUGGCCUGGUUCUAAGAAGGUCACCCAGGUUGAAUUUGAAAAGCAGAGGCACUGUGUCCACAAAAGAAAGUGAUAAGCAGCAAGCCAUUUCUCAAAGCUAAUGCCCGAGUGUGUACCACCGGGAUCCAUUUUAUAUCUCUCUACAGAUUGGUGUGUUUUUCAUGACAACCAUCCCCAUAGCAACCAGGUGUCCAGGCACUAAAUUGAUCUCAAGGAUAUGAAAUCUCAGCCUGGUGAGGGAAGCCCACUCUGACUGCAGUUUCCUUGGAGUCGUUUCACAUCGAGGGCUGGUGUGCAGGUCAUGGGGAAUGGGGCUUCUUCCUGAGGGCUCAGCUGGACACAAGGGACAGCCCUGGUGAGAGGGGAGCCUUUCCUUUUUCAUGUUUACUAAUAAUCCAGAAGAAAGGGUAAGAAACUGGUAAAUCAAAUUCAAAUGAAACUAAAUGGGAAGAUGUUGCAAACGCCAGUUGGAUGGAGGAAAUUAUGUGGACAGCCACGGAAGAAAUGACCACGUAAGACCUGCCCUGGAAAGGCCACAGUUGGAACCUCUGGGAGCCAAUAUUCCAAAGCAAGAAGCUAGAAGAGAUUUACCAAGCAGAAUUAUUUGAGGAGAUUGGGGCGAGGGAGAGAUGAUAAUUAAGCUGAAAAAAAGGGACAUUACAGGGUGCGCAGAGCUGAGGGCCGUGCAGGGAAGGGGCAGAGCAGUUCUAGCUGGACGAAAGCUUAGGUCUUGGUCAGGGAAAUGAGGUGCUCCCAUGGAUUGUCCAGGUGAGCCCAGAGAGCGCACCCAGGGAAGAAUGUUGAGGGCAUGGGGGGUCAUAGGAAGGAGUGAGGGAGAGCCCACACAACAGUAUCCUCUUAAGGCAGCUCAUGCUCGCCCAGAGGCAGCUACCUGCCAUCAGGCUGUCCCUAAGGUCAGCCUUGCUAAUGCUGAGCCCCUGCCUUCCACAGUUACCCUGUCCUGGGGCUUUGGUGAUGGUCCUCCUCACCUCAACAGUGAUGGACAAGGGCUCCUUUUGCUUUGAAGUGAUGCCCACGUGCUUACUGCACAAGGAGGGCAGGGAAGAGCCAGGAAGGGAGGAACCGCCACGCCAGCGGGGACAACGUGACGACACGGAACAAAGGGACAUGCCGUUGGAAUCCUAGGAAGAAGUUUCUUAAGUGACAUCUAAAUAGGCUGCAAAUGGCCUUUUCGAGGGAACUCCCAUCCCUGUGAUAAUCUAAACCAGAAUCGGAUGAGAUGGGGUGGACCGCAUCUCGGGAGGAGCACAUGGGUGUGAGGGAGGAGGGACGUGGCAACCUCAUGCUCCCUUCUCUCUGUAAUCACUCUGUCAACCCACGAUUCUGGGAGGGGAGUAUGAAAUGUGUGGUUUGUCUAUUGCAUGAAGAUAUUUGGAUCCCCCAAAUCUAGGUGUGUCUGGAAGAAAGCUGCCCUCUCCCAGAGGAAAGCUGGGGGUUAAAUCCAUAACUGUCAGUGUGUCUGGCAACAAAAUAAAAGGAAACCACAUUCUCCAUGAAUGAAGGGAGAAGCAGGAAGGAGGUAGUUUUUUCUUUUUUAAAAACAUGAAUAAGAUCCUCCAAUAUGUUUGAGAUUAUUGAGCAAAUUCUUUGAAAAGGGCCCUGGGUCACUAACCAACAGAUUGUGGAUGUAGAAACCACAUUCUUCCAACUUCCCUUCCCAUCCUGACCCCAGAGAUAGCAGGUUGGGUAUGCUGGGGGUCUUUGUUUAGUUAACCAUUAACAAUUCAUAAAAGUGCAGAUCCCUGCACGAUAAGUCCAGUCCUUGGAAUGUUAUUAGAAAAUCCUAUUUCUAGUCUGUUAUGAAACAGAGGUUUUGAUGUGCUGCCAGGUUUAUGGGGAACUCUGGAAACAACACUUGCUUCUCUGAGAAGCUGAGGCUGGGUGGGUGUUACAUAAAGCUUUCCUAGCAACUUAGCUUUAUCACAGAAUGGGAGGCUGCAGUGGAAAAUAUCAGACGAGUUAAUGCAAAACCUGAGCCAACCCACUAUCCCCAUUUGCUCUAAGGCCAGCCAGCAAAUCUGUGGGAGUGAUUUUAACCCACGGGGGAGCGGCAGGCCUAGGGCUCCGGUUGACUGCAGAUUCAGCCCAAGAAUGCUCGGGCAGCUCAGAGCUGAAAGGCACCUUCAGACAGACCUCACGGAAGGCAAAACAGCUCUUCUUGACUCUGAACCAAUUGCUGAUUGAAAUUCACACAAACACACCUUCCUUUUCCUUCUUUGGGUCAUUCCCAGUUUCUCCGGGCACUGCAGGAACAAAGGGGAGUAAGGUCACUUCGUCGAAUCCCUGCCAAGGGAAAUGCGUCUAAUGCAUGACGGUGUCUCUGAAGUCAAUGGAUAAGAAUCUCAUUUCUAAACUCUUGGAUCCAAAAGUAUGCCUCUUAGGAUGGAAUCCUUCUGUGGUGUUGGUUGACAGCUUUUUGGGUUUUCUGAAAAGCAUGUGUCCAGUCCAUUGUUUUUAAUCUCCCAGGGCUGGCGUGGGGGUGGAAGGAGCUGGAGGAAGAAACCAUGCAAAAAUCCAUUUGGAAGCUGCAAAUCAAAGCUAAUAGCCUCUCCUGAUCUGCUCACACACGGUGCCCAACCGGUGUUGUAGAGAGGAAGAGGAAAAGAUUCCCCAGACAUGAGGACAAGUGUAAGGCGAAGGGCUGGAAAGGGGAGGGGAGCUCGUGUCAAGAGGGAGCUGGAACUCAAGUGGGGAGAGGAAAGGCAGUGGGAGAGAAGAGAGCUCCUUCGUGGGCGGCCUCUGCGACAUCUGCCCCAGGGGCCUAACGCCUCCCUCUGUGAUGUCUCUGCACCCAGGCUCUGUUGCUGCUUCCUCAACCAUUAUUCUCAUUUGGGAAGGGAAAGAGUGGUUUUAUAAAACCGGUGUCCACGUGAAGGCAGCCAUCCAGUUGGUGGAGAAAUUUUCCCCACAUAAAUUAGAUUACUCCAAGUCUAGAUGGUUCCUAGCCCCUAGUCCUUCUCGCUGAAGACGGUACAAGGAGGGUGGCAAGGCAGAGGUCUGGAGGGAGAAGAGUAAAAAGCUCCUUGUUUGCGUUAAAACAAACAAACCCCAAGAUAUGCCAGUUGUUUCAGAAGGUGAAUUCCUACUUCAGGUAGUCCUUAAGAGUCACCAGAAAUCCAGGAGCGAAACUGCACUGAGAUUCCAUUAACUGUGAAAAAAAAUAACAAAAUAAACGGGCCACACAAAAAGAAGAAAACCGGCCUGCCCAACGAGGGCUGCGGAGUGCAGCCAGAGUCCCUUGUACCAGUAGAUCAUAUUGUGUCCAUUUAAUAAUAAUAAGAAGGGGCACCCUCCGCGGAGGCUUCACCCAAGGAGUCCUGUCCCACCCGCAGGCUCGGGCGCCCGCCUGCAGACCUCGGACGCCGGCCAGCGUCUUGUCGUGCAAGGCCGUCCACAGCCAGCAUGGCCUUAAUGAGCCCAUUUCAAUUGAAAUGAGAUCAAUACUACUCAUUUUUCU